GAACGCAUAUUGCGCUCUUUGGUAUUCCGAAGAGCAUGCUUGUUUGAGUAUCAGUAAACACCUCAAAGUCUUCAAUUUGUUUUGAAUGGCUUUGGACUUGAGCAAUCCCAACACCAGUCUUUACGAUCGGUGGAGGGUUGCUUGAAAUGCAGGUGCAGCUGGACAUUCUCCUGAGCUAAAAGCAUAUUUAUUUAGUCCCGUCAAACAGGAUUAUUACUAUUGCUGCAGCUAACAUAAAGGAUAAUUGUCCUCAUUGCUGACUGAUGCAGGAUUUUACGACACUUUAUGUGUUGUUCAACUCGAUCUCAAAUCAAGUAAGACUACCCGCUGAACUUAAG
Molecule: unclassified non-coding RNA, 338 nt
Filed under: uncultured fungus
Lineage: Eukaryota; Fungi
Description: sequence contains 5.8S rRNA gene
Rfam family: 5.8S ribosomal RNA (bases 1-53)
Source: RNAcentral